Molecule: long non-coding RNA, 1130 nt
Organism: Equus quagga
Lineage: Eukaryota; Metazoa; Chordata; Mammalia; Perissodactyla; Equidae
Exons: 3
Source: RefSeq, a predicted model, not a curated record
UGUGUCAGACGCCCGGAGAGGCACAGCCCCCAGUGAGCCCUGGAAGGGCGUGGAAGGGAGAAGAGAGGGCGGCUCAGAGCCACCAAGAGGAGGAGGAAGUGGGGGAUGCGCAGCUUCCUGUGGAGAGAAGAUGACUGAAGACAAAGCUGGGUGGGGACUAGUCCCUGGGCUGCGGGCGCCGCUGCUGCACGCCGUGGGCAGCUCCUACUACGCGGCCGGGCGGGCGGGGCGGCGGUGCGCGGCUGCCUGCACGGACCAGCUCACAGGAGCCACUCUCCUCCGACCGGCCCGCGGCUAAGCCAGAUCUGCCAGUGAGCCUCAGGCUUCCGGACCUGAAGAGGUUUUUCCAAACCAACUGUAAAAAACACCAGAGAUUCAGCACUAAGAAGAACCAGCAACAAUUGUGCAACGUCACAUCAGUCUCCCUGUCCCCAGCACCCUCCUCAUGUGCCUCUGAGGGUCACAGUUUACUAACUUCGCUGUGCAGGUGACACACACCUCACGCGUCUUCUUCAGCACGUCAGAGUGUGGAAACUAUGAAACCCGAGUUUGCCAAAGCAGCCCGGAGCUCUCAGCGUGAAUCCCGCCUUUUGUGUGACAAAACUGAACUCUCCCCCUGAGACGGCAGCCUGUGUGGGAACAGACGGGUGUGAGAAGACGGCCUUGAGUGCCCGAGGGGAGGGGCCUGGAGUGGACAAUGUCCUGGACGUCCCCUCUGAGAACCAGGUGCCUCCUGACCUCAAGGGGCGGACGAGAGCUCCUGACCUGCCAUCCAAAGCUGCCUCUGGGGGAGGGCCUGGCUGGGCCGUGCUCCCAGCUCCCACGGCCCACGGCCCCCACGGCAGAGCCGGCUGCAAAAGCGGGGCCCCGAGGGGCCAGGGGCUGUGACCCUCACAUCACUGUGACCGUCAUUGGGAGGCUUUUGUUCUCUAAGCCACUGGGACACAGAGCACGUGAGUGUCCCAGAAAGAGCCAUACAUUAGCUGUCCCAGAAUAGGCAUUUGACUUUUAGGAGCCUGCAGUCUUUUUUUCUUUUUUUUAAUGUAUUUAAUCAUUUCCUAUCUUCCAAAGUAUCUCAGUUGAUAGGUCCAAGGAAUUCUCUUUCAGUUUUUUUUGUUGAGGAAGAACAG